AUCUGAACACAAAUCUAUUCUGCUAAAGUGACUGAGUGUAGAGUCUUUAUUCCAGAGUUGUGCUGCUGCAGCUCCUGUAGGCCAAAGAUUCCAAGCUGAACAUCCAGAGCUGCUGAGAACAGCUGCAGAUGACUGACUCAGUGUGUUUGCAUAUGUGUGCUGCCUCUCUGCUUCCAGCAGUUAAGAGCUCAGUGUUGAUCAGUGGCUGUCCAGACCUUUCAGAGACACUGACACACCUGCAGCACAAUGAGGAUGUCACUGACUCUGCUGCUGGCUGUCCUGGAGCUCCUUGUUCAGGGUUCAUCAGGGGAAAUCACUAUGACUCAGACUCCUGGAUCUCAGUCUGUUGUUCCAGGAGAAACUUUCUCCAUUAGAUGUCAAACCAGUUCAAGUGUUUAUAGCAACAUCCAAUGGUAUCUUCAGAAAUCUGGAGAAGCUCCUAAACUCCUCAUAUAUUCUGCUUCAACCCGUCAGUCUGGAGUUUCUGAUCGUUUUAGUGGAAGUGGAUUUGGCAGUGAUUUCACUCUGACCAUCAGUGGAGUUCAGGCUGAAGAUUCAGGAGUUUAUUACUGUCAGCAGAGUGACAGCUUUCCGUUCACACAGUGACACAACGUCGUACAAAAACCUGUUUCAGCUAAAGAGGAACUGAUCUGAAUGAACAGCUGCACUGACACCGAACACAUUAAAAAUUUACAAAAACCCUUUUUUAUUAUUAAACUAUUGGUUAAAAAAAUGAAACUAUUCUUUAAUUUGACGGUUACAUUUUCAAUGAAAAAACUGUCACGUUUGGAAAACUUUUAACCCCAUUUAAAUUUGCCUUAAGACCUGCAAAGGAGGAUCUAAAGGCAGGGAUGCAUUGUUUAGUUUAGUCUGUGUAGUUUAGCAAUCAGCUAUUGAAUUCUAUGACUUUAUGUUCUUGGUGAUUCAUGUUCAUUACACUGUUACCAGUAUGAAGCCCAUUGAGACGACAAUUGUUGUAAAUAUUGGGCUAUAUAUGUAAAAUUGCAUUAAAUUGAAUUUCUAUAAUGAACAUUAAACUGUUGUUCAAAGUAAUUUUUAAAGCUAAAAGUACUGAUAUUGUGCUGUCUUAUCAGUAAAUGAUGGAGGAAACUGAGGGUUAAGAUAGAGUGGCAAUGUGAGAGAUAGUUUUUGGAAUUCAAGGUGCUGUUUGAGUUGAGUCCAUAUCUGUAAACAAUCCUUAACUAUGAUGUUAUCGGUAUAAGAUGUGAGAGAUAGUUUGAGAGGAAAACACAAAAGAGAGAGUAGAGUAGC
Molecule: non-coding RNA, 1272 nt
Organism: Oryzias latipes (Japanese medaka)
Lineage: Eukaryota; Metazoa; Chordata; Actinopteri; Beloniformes; Adrianichthyidae
Source: the annotation of a RefSeq genome assembly